Long non-coding RNA from Ictalurus punctatus (channel catfish), 1770 nucleotides. RefSeq lists it as uncharacterized. The record is from RefSeq and is a predicted model, not a curated record. The transcript is spliced from 4 exons. Lineage: Eukaryota; Metazoa; Chordata; Actinopteri; Siluriformes; Ictaluridae.
GGAAGACAAAUACAAAAUUGCCCUUAAUUUUAACCUGGUUCAGUAUUUCCACUCCCACCUGUGCACACAAACCUGUCAUCAGGCAGAAUCCCAAGCUAGGGAAUGGACCCUGGGGCUUAAUUGCCAUUGUGAUUGUUUAUAUUGAUCAGUACUGAGAUGAAGAUAUGACAGAUCAAAAUAAACAGUUUUAUAGCUGUGAAGUCUUAAAAUCUGACUUGGAGCUAGGAGACAGUCGAGACAGAACACUGUGGCUGUUGUUUAUUUGCCUUGGAAAGGUUGAACUCUCGCCGUAUCACUAAUUCCGUCUCUCCAGCCACCGAGAGGAAAGAAGCACUGUGUGUGAACAGAAAAAGCUUGUGUGCGUGCGGACACACACACUCACACACACGCAAAGGGUCAUGGGGAGCCUCGAGCCUUUCCCAGGGAACUCGGAACACAAGGCGGGGGACACUCUGGAUGAGGUGAUGAGCAUGUAAAUCCAAGUCAACAAAGGAAGGACUUCAAAAAAGAAGAUCAAUGCUUUGGAACGGCUUAAUCAGAGCCAAGAUCUAAAUCCUAUCGAAAACCUGUGGAAUAACUUGAAGAGGGCUGUGCACAGGAGCUACUCUCAUAAUUUGAUAGAUCCACUCAAAGAAGAUUGGAAUAAAAUCGCCAAAUCAAGAUGUGUCAAAUUGGUAACUGUUUCUUCUGUUUCCAUAAAACAUUUCUUUUUGUUUUUAAUUUGAAUUUUGUUUUAUAUCUACUGUAUAGUUGCAGAAUAAGUGCACAAAACACUAGUUAUGGAUUACAAUGUUAUCCUCAUCUACACAAGUCUAGACUGGCCAUCACUUUUAGUAUUAUUAGUUUUUCAGAAUAUUGAGAAUAUUAGUGAAGCUCAUGAAAUGAUAUGGCUGUUAGAUGCAAAAGAGUAUGCUUAAAAAAGUGUCUACCUUUAAAGAUUCAGCCAAUAAUUUGAAACAGCGAAAUAGACGGUUGUUUAAAAAAAAAUCUAGUUCCACUGAUUUAGCCUGGUAGUGGAAUAAACCAUCCGGAGAUUUGAGUUGAGUCCUUUAAAUGAAAGCAGACGAAUAACUUGUCUAAUUUAAAUUUUAAGCUCUAGUUUUGUUACUUUCACCCCCUAAAGCUUCAAAAACAUAAAUCUGAUUAAACAAACUGAUGUAAAUCAGUAAUGAAGGGAUAGAGGGGAAAAAACUGUCUCUAAUUGUAAACAUAAAACCUGGACUACCAAUUAUAUGUAAGAUGUAUUUGGCUAAACAGGAGUCUGUAGAGGAAACACUGAGGUAACAUCAUCACUAUAAUGGUCAUGAUUGGGGAAAAUGUUCACACUGACUUCUGAGUUGUAAUUUUGGGAGUAUGGCGAGUGCACUCAUUUCUCCCUACAAAAAGUGCAGCAACUGGUACUGCUUUCAACAUGGUAAAAAAACAAAAAAACAAAAAAAACCCAAGAAGACAAACAAUAUGGACAUUGUAAAAUACACAUUUUAGUUAUCAUUUUAGUUUAAUAAAUUGUAUCACUCGGGGGGGCUCACAGUGGCUUAGUGGUUAGCAUGUUUGCCUCGCUCCUCCUGGUUGAUUCCAGCCUCCGCUCUGUGUGCGCUCAGCUUGUAUGUACUGUACUUCCCAGUUUCCCAGUUUCCUCUGGGUACUCUAGUUUCCUCUUCCAGUUCAAACACAUGUGUUGUAGGCUGAUUGGGCUGACAUCUAAAUUGUCCGUAUGUGUGUGUGUGUGUGUGCAAUUGUGCCCUGCAAUGGUCCAGUUUGUACCCCGAG